CUUUACUGUAGCCUGGUAUUGGGUUCGGGCUUUGACUGCGCAGGAUAGGUGGGAGACUAUGAAGCUGCCCUUGUGGGGGCAGUGGAGUCAUCAGUGAGAUACCACUCUGUCAAGGCUAGAAUUCUAACCGACUGCCGUUAUCCGGCGACGGAACAGUAUCAGGCGGGCAGUUUGACUGGGGCGGUCGCCUCCUAAAUGGUAACGGAGGCGCGCAAAGGUUCCCUCAGGCUGGUUGGAAAUCAGCCGAAGAGUGUAAAGGCAGAAGGGAGCUUGACUGCAAGAGCAACAACUCAAGCAGGGACGAAAGUCGGCCUUAGUGAUCCGACGGCGCUGAGUGGAAGGGCCGUCGCUCAACGGAUAAAAGUUA
RNAcentral lists this ribosomal RNA (367 nucleotides) under uncultured organism. Its description in RNAcentral is "bacterial LSU rRNA". It matches the Rfam family "Bacterial large subunit ribosomal RNA", at positions 2099 to 2465 of the family's 2925-position model. The record is from RNAcentral.